GUGCAGCAGUGGGGGAAGGAGGGGGUGGGGGAGGUGGGGGGGGGGCUGCUGUUAGGCAGAUCCAGGAGGGCAGAGGUGUCAAAGCAGUUUUACAGCUUUCUGGUGCUGAUAUGUGCCGGAGCCAGGGGACUUUCUGAUGGACGUAUGGGAGCAACACAUACAGACUGUUUGAAAGGGUCAUCUGCGUAUUUCACAGCAGCGGCCCGUGGGGGCAGCCCGUUGGCAGUGGAGGGACCCAGGCCCUUCUGGCUGUUCCAGAGGACCCACCAGGACAGGGUUUCAGAGGAACACGAGAGCAGCUAAGCCCCUCGCUCAUGUCAGGGGAGCUGGGGGCAAGGACUUUCAGAGCUGGGUGUUUUGGGGCAAGGAAAAUUGGGGUAUGGCUUUUUGACAGUAAGGAGGUUUGGAAGUAAGGGCAUCACGAGGGAGCCUGGAGAUGGAAGCACUCAGGGCCGAGGGCACUUGCGAGCAAGGGCUGCUGGACGCACGGCACAGCCCCUCGGCGAUGGCACUCGAGGCUGAGGUUCUUUGGUGGUGAAAGCAUACAGGGCUAAGAGGGGAUGAGAGCGAAGAUAGAAAUAAUUUUGCUGUGGAUCCAAAUGGUGGCAUCGUGCUGUACUGACUUCGUCUCUUGUCUUCAUUCCACUAGCUUUUCACAAGGACGUGCUUUGGAGGCAUGACUUUACAAAGAAAAGAAAAUGCAACACUUCAUCUGAUACCAGUUCUGUUGCGUGAGUCCAACUGAGGGAUUGCUCAAGGGUACCUUUGUACCACGUCAAACUUCAGGAUUUUUACUACUCCAGCACAGUGGACUGUGACAGAGAUACAGGUUGGAGCUGUCAUGGUCAAGCACUGAGAGGAGGCAUUUAUUAAGCACUGCGAACGACAGGCUGGUAAAAGACUGCCUACAACUUUGUCUUUUGCAGCACCAAAUACAGAGUAUUAUUUAACAUUUCACGCACAACUUUGCAGAAAAGUUUUGUCCCCUUGGAAUCCUCCUAAGAUCC
RNAcentral lists this long non-coding RNA (1007 nucleotides) under Gallus gallus (chicken). Its description in RNAcentral is "lncRNA (ENSGALG00010019668.1)". Lineage: Eukaryota; Metazoa; Chordata; Aves; Galliformes; Phasianidae. The record is from RNAcentral.